This 116-nucleotide microRNA precursor is filed under the name Chlorocebus sabaeus (green monkey). RNAcentral's name for it is "miRNA (ENSCSAG00000024851.1)". Lineage: Eukaryota; Metazoa; Chordata; Mammalia; Primates; Cercopithecidae. The record is from RNAcentral.
UGUGUAUAUGUAUAUAUAUAUGUGUGUGUGUAUGUAUACAUACACACAUAUAUACACACACAUAUAUAUACACACAUAUACACACAUACACAUAUAUACAUAUACAUAUAUAGAUA